Molecule: ribosomal RNA, 407 nt
Filed under: uncultured bacterium
Lineage: Bacteria
Description: partial 16S ribosomal RNA
Rfam family: Bacterial small subunit ribosomal RNA
Source: RNAcentral
UGGGGAAUAUUGCACAAUGGGCGAAAGCCUGAUGCAGCGACGCCGCGUGGGGGAUGACGGCCUUCGGGUUGUAAACCCCUUUCAGUAGGGAAGAAGCGAGAGUGACGGUACCUGCAGAAGAAGCGCCGGCUAACUACGUGCCAGCAGCCGCGGUAAUACGUAGGGCGCAAGCGUUGUCCGGAAUUAUUGGGCGUAAAGAGCUUGUAGGUGGCUUGUCGCGUCUGCCGUGAAAACCCGAGGCUCAACCUCGGGCGUGCGGUGGGUACGGGCAGGCUAGAGUGUGGUAGGGGAGACUGGAACUCCUGGUGUAGCGGUGAAAUGCGCAGAUAUCAGGAAGAACACCGAUGGCGAAGGCAGGUCUCCGGGCCAUUACUGACACUGAGAAGCGAAAGCAUGGGUAGCGAACA